ACGAACGCUUGCGGCGUGCUUAACACCUGCCAGUCGCACGGAAAGGCCCUGCUUUUGUGGGGUGCUCGAGUGGCGAACGGGUGAGUAACACGUGAGUAACCUGCCCUUGACUUUGGGAUAACUUCAGGAAACUGGGGCUAAUACCGGAUAGGAGCUCCUGCUGCAUGGUGGGGGUUGGAAAGUUUCGGCGGUUGGGGAUGGACUCGCGGCUUAUCAGCUUGUUGGUGGGGUAGUGGCUUACCAAGGCUUUGACGGGUAGCCGGCCUGAGAGGGUGACCGGCCACAUUGGGACUGAGAUACGGCCCAGACUCCUACGGGAGGCAGCAGUGGGGAAUAUUGCACAAUGGGCGGAAGCCUGAUGCAGCAACGCCGCGUGCGGGAUGACGGCCUUCGGGUUGUAAACCGCUUUCGCCUGUGACGAAGCGUGAGUGACGGUAAUGGGUAAAGAAGCACCGGCUAACUACGUG
Molecule: ribosomal RNA, 467 nt
Filed under: uncultured bacterium
Lineage: Bacteria
Description: partial 16S ribosomal RNA
Rfam family: Bacterial small subunit ribosomal RNA
Source: RNAcentral